RNAcentral lists this long non-coding RNA (1919 nucleotides) under Homo sapiens (human). Its description in RNAcentral is "novel transcript". The record is from RNAcentral. Lineage: Eukaryota; Metazoa; Chordata; Mammalia; Primates; Hominidae.
GACUCUCCCAUCCAAGGCAUGCAGACUGGGGAAUGUUUCGGUGUACAAGAGAUGAAAUAGGGAUGGAGUGCCCCCCACGUUCUUUCUGCAAGUGCCUAUUUGUGAGUGUGUGUAUCUGGGAUUUUCAGUGCUUUACCGGGGCUCUUGUGCAGAGUGCACGGUGAAGGCUGCGAGGGUCUCACUCUGUUACCCAGGCUGGAGUGGUGCAAUGGCACAAUCUCAGCUCACUGCAACCCCUGCCACUGCAACCCUUGCCUCCAGGUUCAAGUGCUUCUCUUGCCUCAGCCUUCCAAGUAGCUGGGAUUACAGGCACCUGCCACCACACCUGGCUGAUUUUUGUAUUUUUAACAGAGACGGGGUUUCACCAUGUUGGCCAAGCUGGUCUCAAACUCCUGACCUCAAGUGAUCUGCCUGCCUCAGCCUCCCAAAAUGCUGGGAUUACAGGUGUAAGCCACCAUGCCCAGCCAGGUAUGCAUUUCAUAGUGUAUGAAUCAUACCUCAAAAUUUAUAAAAAUAAAAAAGGAUUUUAAAAAAUGAACAGCCCUUUAGGUAUGGGAGGAGGCGAGGAGUAAGAAAGGUGAAUGGACUCUGCAUUACCACUUGCCGAUCGCUAGAUGUUACCAUGUUACAGUGGAAGGAAUGCAAACAAUAAUUUUUCCCAUUUUUUUUUUUGUUAUGUCCACCAUGUAACCGGACACACAGAAUUUUUUUUUUUUUUUUUUUUUUUUUUUGAGACGAAGUCUCACUCUGUCGCCCAGGCUGGAGUGCAGUGGCGCAUCUCGGCUCACUGCAAGCUCCGUCUCCCACGUUCACGCCAUUCUCCUGCCUCAGCCUCCCGAGUAGCUGGGACUACAGGCGUCUGCCACCAUGCAGCUAAUUUUUUGUAUUUUUUUUUUUAGUAGAGAUGGGGUUUCACCGUGUUAGCCAGGAUGGUCACGAUCUCCUGACCUCGUGAUCCGCCUGCCUCGGCCUCCCAAAGUGCUGGGAUUACCGGCAUGAGCCACCAUUUCCGGCAACAGGCAGACUUUUAACACAUUCCUUACCUAAACUUUUAAAAGGGACAAAAGAUAUAUGCCUUUGGUUUGGGAGAUGACGAAACAUAUGCUUUAAUGACUAUUGGGUUGGAAUCUUCUUGAGAGAGGAUCCUUCUUAGCCUAGACUAGAGUCUUCAAAAGCCCACAGUGCUUCGUAAAGUUUCAUACGUGGAAGAGAGAAGGAUGUUCCACUGGAAAAGCAGAAUUGCAGCUGAGCUGUCCUGAAAUGCCCAGCACUCUGUGGAGACGCGGAGGAGGUUUCCUGGGACAAAGUGCUGAACCAGCUACAGCCACAAGCUGUCUCCACCAUCAGAUGUGGCUUACCUGGUUCCUGAGUCAAUUCCAUCCAGAUGGUGAAGCCAAGGCCUGAAGACCUUUCCUGCAAGGUCGCAGAGGAAGAGGCAGAAGAAGGACCAGAACCCAGCUCCCCUGACUCCCUAUCCAGUGCUCUUCUCAUAGAUUACAUUGCUUCAGCAUCCACCUGGCUAUUGCUCCAUCCAGGGGUUACAGGAGUCACUGACUGUUUUGGUUGCUUCUUGGUUGGAGGAUGUUGUGCCUCACCGAUGAGAGCCGGAAGCAAAGGUACCAGUUCUUAGAGGAAGCAUAGGAAUGUGUCCCUUCCUGCUCGGGUCUCUCAACUGAACUCAACCCUUCCUUGAUUGAUUGACAAGCAUGUUAUCUCUCAUAAUCCCUGCCCGGUAAGGGCUGAUGUCCCCAUUUUACAGAUGAGGAUAUUGGAGCUCAGAGAAGUGAAAUGAUUGCUGAAGGUCACACAGCCUGGCUUCAAGCCUCUCGGGCUCCAAAAGGCAUCUUCUGUUCUCUCCGUCAGGAAGCCUCUUUUGGAUGAUUAACUGAGAUUAAAAAUGAAAAGACACAUGAAAGAAA